UUUCAAUCCCAGUCUUUUGUGCCUUCCUGUC
Molecule: non-coding RNA, 31 nt
Filed under: Homo sapiens (human)
Lineage: Eukaryota; Metazoa; Chordata; Mammalia; Primates; Hominidae
Source: RNAcentral